GAUGAACGCUGGCGGCGUGCCUAAUACAUGCAAGUCGAGCGAACAGACGAGGAGCUUGCUCCUCUGACGUUAGCGGCGGACGGGUGAGUAACACGUGGAUAACCUACCUAUAAGACUGGGAUAACUUCGGGAAACCGGAGCUAAUACCGGAUAAUAUAUUGAACCGCAUGGUUCAAUAGUGAAAGACGGUUUUGCUGUCACUUAUCGAUGGAUCCGCGCCGCAUUAGCUAGUUGGUAAGGUAACGGCUUACCAAGGCGACGAUGCGUAGCCGACCUGAGAGGGUGAUCGGCCACACUGGAACUGAGCCACGGUCAAGAGGCCUGCGGGAGGCAGCAGUAGGCAAUCGUCCGCAAUGGUCGAAAACCUGACGGAGCAACGCCGCGUGAGUGAUGGAGGUCUUCGGAUCGUGAUACUCUGUUUUUAGGGAAGAACAAAUGUGUAAGUAACUAUGCACGUCUUGACGGUACCUGAUCAGAAAGCCACGGCUAACUACGUG
RNAcentral lists this ribosomal RNA (497 nucleotides) under uncultured bacterium. RNAcentral describes it as "partial 16S ribosomal RNA". It matches the Rfam family "Bacterial small subunit ribosomal RNA", at positions 28 to 507 of the family's 1533-position model. The record is from RNAcentral.